This 366-nucleotide ribosomal RNA is filed under the name uncultured organism. RNAcentral's name for it is "bacterial LSU rRNA". It matches the Rfam family "Bacterial large subunit ribosomal RNA", at positions 2099 to 2465 of the family's 2925-position model. The record is from RNAcentral.
CUUUACUGCAACUUGACGUUGGAACUUGGCUGUAUUUGUGUAGGAUAGGUGGGAGACUUUGAAGCAGGGCCGCCAGGUCUUGCGGAGUCGUCGUUGAAAUACCACCCUGGUGCUGACGAGUUUCUAACCGUGUCCGUAAGCCGGACAUGAGACAGCGUCUGGUGGGCAGUUUGACUGGGGCGGUCGCCUCCUAAAAGGUAACGGAGGCAUUCAAAGGUCCCCUCAGCGUGGUCGGUAAUCACGCGCAGAGUGCAAACGCAUAAGGGGGCUUAACUGUGAGACCGACAGGUCGAGCAGGUACGAAGGUAGGAGUGAGUGAUCCCGCGGUUUAGCGUGGAAUUGCCGUUGCUCAAUGGAUAAAAGGUA